This 360-nucleotide ribosomal RNA is filed under the name uncultured bacterium. RNAcentral's name for it is "bacterial SSU rRNA". It matches the Rfam family "Bacterial small subunit ribosomal RNA", at positions 8 to 352 of the family's 1533-position model. The record is from RNAcentral.
AGAGUUUGAUCCUGGCUCAGAACGAACGCUGGCGGCGUGCCUAAGACAUGCAAGUCGUGCGAGAAAGCUCCUUCGGGAGUGAGUACAGCGGCGCACGGGUGAGUAACGCGUGGGCAACCUGCCCUCGGGUCCGGGACAACCCGGGGAAACCUGGGCUAAUACCGGAUGAGACCACGGAGUCUCCGGACUCUGCGGAAAAAGAUGGCCUCUGCUUGCAAGCUAUCGCCUGGGGAUGGGCCCGCGUCCCAUUAGCUUGUUGGUGAGGUAACGGCUCACCAAGGCUCCGAUGGGUAGCUGGUCUGAGAGGAUGAUCAGCCACACUGGGACUGAGACACGGCCCAGACACCUACGGGUGGCUGC